GCUUCUCUGAUGUUAGCGGCGGACGGGUGAGUAACACGUGGGUAACCUACCUAUAAGACUGGGAUAACUCCGGGAAACCGGGGCUAAUACCGGAUAAUAUAUUGAACCGCAUGGUUCAAUGUUGAAAGACGGUUUCGGCUGUCACUUAUAGAUGGACCCGCGCCGUAUUAGCUAGUUGGUAAGGUAACGGCUUACCAAGGCAACGAUACGUAGCCGACCUGAGAGGGUGAUCGGCCACACUGGAACUGAGACACGGUCCAGACUCCUACGGGAGGCAGCAGUAGGGAAUCUUCCGCAAUGGGCGAAAGCCUGACGGAGCAACGCCGCGUGAGUGAUGAAGGUCUUAGGAUCGUAAAACUCUGUUGUUAGGGAAGAACAAAUUUGUUAGUAACUGAACAAGUCUUGACGGUACCUAACCAGAAAGCCACGGCUAACUACGUGCCAGCAGCCGCGGUAAUACGUAGGUGGCAAGCGUUAUCCGGAAUUAUUGGGCGUAAAGCGCGCGUAGGCGGUUUCUUAAG
RNAcentral lists this ribosomal RNA (521 nucleotides) under Mammaliicoccus lentus. Its description in RNAcentral is "bacterial SSU rRNA". It matches the Rfam family "Bacterial small subunit ribosomal RNA", at positions 79 to 587 of the family's 1533-position model. Lineage: Bacteria; Bacillati; Bacillota; Bacilli; Caryophanales; Staphylococcaceae. The record is from RNAcentral.